UACGUAAAAUGCAAGCGUUGCUCGGAAUUACUGGGCGUAAAGGGCGCGUAGGCGGAAUGGCAAGUCGGUCGUGAAAUCCUUCGGCUCAACCGAAGAACGUCGAUCGAAACUGCCGUUCUUGAGGAUUGCAGAGGAGACUGGAAUUCCCGGUGUAGCGGUGAAAUGUGUAGAGAUCGGGAGGAACACCGGUGGCGAAGGCGGGUCUCUGGGCAAUUCCUGACGCUGAGGCGCGAAAGCGUGGGGAGCAAACGGG
Molecule: ribosomal RNA, 253 nt
Filed under: uncultured bacterium
Lineage: Bacteria
Description: partial 16S ribosomal RNA
Rfam family: Bacterial small subunit ribosomal RNA
Source: RNAcentral